RNAcentral lists this long non-coding RNA (1111 nucleotides) under Homo sapiens (human). RNAcentral describes it as "non-protein coding lnc-FOXD4L5-25:1". Lineage: Eukaryota; Metazoa; Chordata; Mammalia; Primates; Hominidae. The record is from RNAcentral.
AAACUCAUGAAUACUCUGUAUUUAAAACCUCCACUGGCGAUCAGGGCACAUAGAAUCUCUACUACUGAUCCCUGACGCUGGCCAUCCCCCAACCCGUCGGCCCACGGACCCCAGCCCUGACCCCACCUCCUCCCAGCAUCUUACACAAGGAUUCUCACCACACUCCCCAGAGACUCGCCUGCCCAGGGCCCCUCUCUAACCCCAUAUAGCUCAGGUCUCUGAUCCAGAGACUGCAUCACCGACCUCUCCGACUACCUAUUUCCAGAUUAGAGUCCCUGAUCACAGAGGCAUUGUCUAAAAUAACUAGCUCUUACAACUAUGUCCACUUCAGGAACCGCCCUGUGAUGUCAGAACUUUGAGGCCGCCCGGCCAGGGCUGCACAUGCUCAGUGAGGUCGGCGCCCGCCAGUAACAAACAUGGCUCCCUGAAGCCGCUCAGGCUCAAGAGCAACAUGGAGGUCUGCACUUAAUCGCUCCUCUCCGGGGGCGGCCAUACCGAGGAGGCGUCUCUUCCGUGCAGGCAGGCUCUCCUGGGGACCUCAGAGAUUCUCUCCAGCGGCAGCGGAAAACGGACAAUGGGUGGAUUCGGGUCCAGAUUCUGGUAGGAGGGAGUUUGGGAUCGAGAUCUGGAAAAAAGCACUAGACUGGAAGAGGACGCGAUGGAGUCGGAGCCGCUGGCGGGGACAAAAACCAGAGGCCGGGGAAGGCGCCGGUGGGAGGCAAGGCACGGAUGGACUUUACCUGCGCACGCGUCGCAGCCAUCUCCGCGCACAGUGGUGGCCACCGCGACUGGUGCUGAAGUGUUGGCGCGUGCCGGGCGCUCCGCUGGGACCCGGGUUGCUGGCCCUGAGUCUCAGCUUUCUCAUCUGUACGGUUGGGACAAGUACAGUAACCCUCGCCCGUCAAGACGGGCCAGGGCUGUGGCGAGGGUCCACGCCUUAGAGCAGGCAGGAGUAGGGCUGAUUGGAGCCAUUGUACAGUGUCGGGAACAUACCAGGACACUGAGAAUAGUGUCAUGUCAUAAGGACCCAGAGCAGAUGGACCCUGCUGUGAUGCACAAAGGUGAGGGUGCAGCUGCCCAGGACACACUCAUGCAUGUUUGUGUGGACCAU